Molecule: ribosomal RNA, 253 nt
Filed under: uncultured bacterium
Lineage: Bacteria
Description: partial 16S ribosomal RNA
Rfam family: Bacterial small subunit ribosomal RNA
Source: RNAcentral
GACGGACCGUGCAAACGUUAUUCGGAUUCACUGGGCUUAAAGGGCGCGUAGGCGGGCCAUCAAGUCAGGGGUGAAAUCUUUCGGCUCAACCGGAAAAGUGCCUUUGAUACUGGUGGUCUCGAGGGAGGUAGGGGCAUGCGGAACUUCCGGUGGAGCGGUGAAAUGCGUAGAUAUCGGAAGGAACGCCGGUGGCGAAAGCGGCGUGCUGGACCUCUUCUGACGCCGAUGCACGAAAGCUAGGGGAGCAAACAGG